UACGUAGGGUCCGAGCGUUGUCCGGAAUUAUUGGGCAUAAAGGGCGCGUAGGCGGCUUGCCAAGUCAGGGGUGAAAUCCUGCAGCUUAACUGUAGAAGGGCCUUUGAUACUGGCGAGCUCGAGGGAGGUAGGGGUAUGUGGAACUUCCGGUGGAGCGGUGAAAUGCGUUGAUAUCGGAAGGAACGCCGGUGGCGAAAGCGACGUACUGGACCUCUUCUGACGCUGAGGCGCGAAAGCUAGGGGAGCAAACGGG
This 253-nucleotide ribosomal RNA is filed under the name uncultured bacterium. RNAcentral's name for it is "partial 16S ribosomal RNA". It matches the Rfam family "Bacterial small subunit ribosomal RNA", at positions 524 to 776 of the family's 1533-position model. The record is from RNAcentral.